This 253-nucleotide ribosomal RNA is filed under the name uncultured bacterium. Its description in RNAcentral is "partial 16S ribosomal RNA". It matches the Rfam family "Bacterial small subunit ribosomal RNA", at positions 524 to 776 of the family's 1533-position model. The record is from RNAcentral.
UACAGAGGUGGCAAGCGUUGUUCGGAAUUACUGGGCGUAAAGAGCGCGCAGGCGGUCGUUCAAGUCGCGUGUGAAAGCCCCCGGCUCAACUGGGGAGGGUCACGCGAUACUGAUCGACUCGAAGGCAGGAGAGGGUAGUGGAAUUCCCGGUGUAGUGGUGAAAUGCGUAGAUAUCGGGAGGAACACCAGUGGCGAAGGCGACUACCUGGCCUGUUCUUGACGCUGAGGCGCGAAAGCUAGGGGAGCAAACGGG